UGAACCAUGGUUAAUGAACAUUGGUCCGUUCAAAGUGCAAUGGUCUUGACCAUGAUUUACC
RNAcentral lists this microRNA precursor (61 nucleotides) under Euprymna scolopes. RNAcentral describes it as "Esc-Mir-12503_pre stem-loop". The record is from RNAcentral. Lineage: Eukaryota; Metazoa; Mollusca; Cephalopoda; Sepiida; Sepiolidae.